This 582-nucleotide ribosomal RNA is filed under the name Bacillus pumilus. RNAcentral describes it as "bacterial SSU rRNA". It matches the Rfam family "Bacterial small subunit ribosomal RNA", at positions 558 to 1141 of the family's 1533-position model. The record is from RNAcentral. Lineage: Bacteria; Bacillati; Bacillota; Bacilli; Caryophanales; Bacillaceae.
GCGUAAGGGCUCGCAGGCGGUUUCUUAAGUCUGAUGUGAAAGCCCCCGGCUCUACCGGGGAGGGUCAUUGGAAACUGGGAAACUUGAGUGCACAAGAGGAGAGUGGAAUUCCACGUGUAGCGGUGAAAUGCGUAGAGAUGUGGAGGAACACCAGUGGCGAAGGCGACUCUCUGGUCUGUAACUGACGCUGAGGAGCGAAAGCGUGGGGAGCGAACAGGAUUAGAUACCCUGGUAGUCCACGCCGUAAACGAUGAGUGCUAAGUGUUAGGGGGUUUCCGCCCCUUAGUGCUGCAGCUAACGCAUUAAGCACUCCGCCUGGGGAGUACGGUCGCAAGACUGAAACUCAAAGGAAUUGACGGGGGCCCGCACAAGCGGUGGAGCAUGUGGUUUAAUUCGAAGCAACGCGAAGAACCUUACCAGGUCUUGACAUCCUCUGACAACCCUAGAGAUAGGGCUUUCCCUUCGGGGACAGAGUGACAGGUGGUGCAUGGUUGUCGUCAGCUCGUGUCGUGAGAUGUUGGGUUAAGUCCCGCAACGAGCGCAACCCUUGAUCUUAGUUGCCAGCAUUCAGUUGGGCACUCU